UCCCCAAACCACCUCACCGCAUAAUCUUAAGAAGUCACCUCACUCUCUUGACCACAGGCCCCUCAUUUGUGGAGGGGGAUUUGAAACCAUUUAUCUCAUAAGGUUACCGUGCAGAUUAAAUAAGACAAUGUAGGAAAAACUGUUAGCACAAUAGCAGGUAAAACUGAAACAGAUGGUUACUAAGGAGACUAUCAGCUUUAUGACCUGAAGAAAGCAAAAUUUCACCCCUGGAAAAAAGUCUGCUACCUCACAAGAAAAUACCAAAUCUAAGGAUUCGGUCUCGUGAUAUUAUUAAAGAAAUAAUCCUGAAAGUUUAAGAAUGGCACAUCAAAAGUAGUCAUACCAUUUGCAGCAAAAUACCUGCCAACCCCAGGCAAGAAAAAAUUCUCCAGAAGAUUGCCUUUGGACUUGAUAUGGAACAUGGCCUUUUCUGUUUCUACAGCAGACAGCCUUUGAAUGUGAACUGGAACAUCAGCUCUCCUGGGUCUCCAGCCUGUUGGCCCAACCUACAGAUUUCGGACUUGCUAGUCUCUAUAAUCAUACAGAAUGAAGAAUAACACACUAGGCUGGCAGAACCAGGCUGCAUUUAUGCAGACAAGACAGUCCCUUGUGCCCAACAAAUAGUUUUGAUCUCUUACACGUGAGGGUAUUGAGAUUCAGGAGAGUUAAGUGAUAUGAACAAGUCCACCAUGUUCAAUGUGGCACGACAAGUCUUUGGAGUGUGGGUACCUGCCCAACCACGACUUCACCCAUAGAAAGGAUACAAAGUAUGCUGGCUUCAGCUAGGGUUUUCUUGGAAGUGCAAUUUUCCACCUCCUGUGCAUUGACAUCGGUUUCUUUUUAAACGUCUUUAUCAUUUAUCUUUCUUUUUCAUGACUGACUUUAGUGUGUGUAACAUGAAAGGGUAGGAACGGAAUGCUCCCCAUGUGGCAAGACAAGCCACCCUCUGCGUGAAUGUGACAGGUAGAGUUAUACUGUGUCAUUCUUCACCAAGCACAGAGAAGGACAUAUUUCUCAUUACUACUGCAGUAUCAAAAUACAGCACCACCUGGGCGUGAGACAGAACAGGAAGGAAGAAAGAAGAAAUGCAAGAUUGGGAAUUCUCUACUUGAUUUGCCAUCACUAUCAAUCUCUCUGAGGGCAAAGCACAGGGUCUCCGGGGCCUUCCUAUUUUUCUUCCUCUCAUCAAGCUCUGCCCUAUCCCUCCAUGUGCUCUGUAGGUGUGCAGGAAACGCUAAAGGAAUUGAAGAAGAAAUACCCAAAUCAUACCCUAGGUUCCACUUAUCAAAGGUCAACAGCCGCUGUUGCUCAUUCAGUAAAGAUAACAAGGAAUUUCUCCCAGAAGAUGGCUUUGAUUUAUGGAAACCAUGUGCUGUUAAAAGGCAGAUUAUUUUUAUUUCAGUACUUGAUCCUUUGGUGGCUCAGGGCAAACAGCAUGUCUUGGAGUGAAGUAUAUUGGAGUUAAAUCUCAGGUCCACCAGUCACCAAAUCCUCUACAUGCUAACUCUCUCUUCUGUAAAAUCAAUUGCUAUUUCACAGAAUAAUUGGACUAAGAAAGACAAUAUAUAAAAAGCUAAUAAUAGAGAUACAAUAAAAUGUUUGUUUUCUUUCCUUCACUACUUCUCAUCUCCUUCUUCCCAGCCUGGCUCUAUUAUUUCUCUUUUCUUCAAAAGAGGGAAAAGAUGGGGAGAGAAAGUCGAAAGGAGUGACAUAAAAGAAAAGAUGAAGAUUAGUCCUCAGAGGAAAAGGGGCAAAAAAACCUCUUUAGAUCUCCAAUAUUUCUCAGAGCAAAUCCUAAAUCAACAGAAGCCUUAGGGGGCCACGCUACAGCCAUUAUUUCUUUUCAUUCCUUGUGUUACUAAACACAUGGAAUCAACUAUAAUACAUCAGAAUAGUUUGUUUUACUUUACAGCAGUGAAGUCAAAACCCACAUCCAAAACAAUGUAUGAACACUUUUCUGCUUACAUCAGGGUACGAUGUUAAACCAAAGAUGGUCCCUGUUUGGCAAAACAGCCAAGAAAAUCAGCACAAGUCCCAUAACAGAAAGAUCAAGCAUAAAAGAAGUCAGACCAUAAGAACAAGAGUCUUUUAAAAAAAAAAAAAAUCAACCAUCAUUGGUAACACCAGCGUUUCAGAUCUUCGAACUACCUGUGACAAGGGUCACCAGGGCCAUCAUGCCUGUCGUUGCUAAGAUCACAGCUGCCAAAUCCUUAUUGCCAUCUACUCUGCCUAAAAGCGCUCUGUCGUUAUGAACAGGAUUUCUGUUUACACUGCCCAGCAGGGCUGAAGAAAGAGAAAAAGCUGAAAGAUGAAUUAGCUCUCUGCUUAAAGAAAAGUGUGAUCCAAAACCUUGACCAAAGAGCCACAACUGCAAGUCUGAUAGAAUGGAUGGGCAAGACGGGGAGGCUUUACGAUACUUUUUUGUUUGAAGAGUUGUGAAUAGAACAGUGUACCUGCCUGGCAACCAAGAAUAUAACUACAAUGCAAUGAGCUGGCACACAUGGUCACAGAGUUGGUUCCGGAAAGAACAUGCUUCUAGGAUGGCAAGACCUCCUGCACAGAAGCUGGCAGAAGAGUUGCUUAAACAACAACAGUUCAGUGACUCAUCUGUGUUUUCACAACACGUUUGUACCAGCACCCAUGUCUAUUUGUAGCCUGACAAUAAAGACCCUAUAUGAACUAUCUCUGAGCUGUCUGCUUUAAAAGCAAGGACACUAUUCUCAGUUGACUCACUUGAGCUACUUGUGCUUUUGAGAAUAACCCGUUGCCACAUUUAUGAAGGCAUGUGAUAUAACUGAAGAUUACUUCAGGCUGUGCCAAUGUCCUGCUUAGUUCUGAUCUAGUGUUUAGAAGGUCAAAUAGACCCAGAGGGCUUUACCCCCCUCAAUAAUCCCCUAUAUACCACUACUGGUAUCUCUUGGGGACAUAGAAAAAGAAUGCCUUAUCAACACCCUAGACUGUAAAUACCAUCAGAAUGGGGAUUAUUAUCUGUUUUGGCUACUUAUCUGUAUCCCCAGCACUUAAAAUAGUGUCUGCCACACAGUAAACACCCCAUAAAUACUUGCAAAGGAAUAAAUCAACCUCUGUCAUGGGCCUGGGAAGUGAUCUGGGACUUAGCACCAAAUCCACAAAAUAUUUUGUUGUCCUGAUGCCAAGUCAAGAUUUCUACUUCAGAGCAUCAAAACUUCUGUAUGUUCAAGUACAGGUCCUUUCAGUAUUGAGAUACUUUUCAACAUAUUAAAUCACCUUACUCCCUCGUCCUUAAAAUAGAUGAAACCAACAGAAAUAUCAACCUAAGUCAUCCAUCAUCAUAAGAAAACCUAGUACAAUGACUA
Panthera uncia (snow leopard) is the source of this 3335-nucleotide long non-coding RNA. RefSeq lists it as uncharacterized. The record is from RefSeq and is a predicted model, not a curated record. The transcript has 8 exons. NCBI's taxonomy places the organism in Eukaryota, Metazoa, Chordata, Mammalia, Carnivora, Felidae.